RNAcentral lists this ribosomal RNA (2803 nucleotides) under Escherichia coli. Its description in RNAcentral is "bacterial LSU rRNA". It matches the Rfam family "Bacterial large subunit ribosomal RNA". The record is from RNAcentral. Lineage: Bacteria; Pseudomonadati; Pseudomonadota; Gammaproteobacteria; Enterobacterales; Enterobacteriaceae.
GGGUUGUGAGGUUAAGCGACUAAGCGUACACGGUGGAUGCCCUGGCAGUCAGAGGCGAUGAAGGACGUGCUAAUCUGCGAUAAGCGUCGGUAAGGUGAUAUGAACCGUUAUAACCGGCGAUUUCCGAAUGGGGAAACCCAGUGUGUUUCGACACACUAUCAUUAACUGAAUCCAUAGGUUAAUGAGGCGAACCGGGGGAACUGAAACAUCUAAGUACCCCGAGGAAAAGAAAUCAACCGAGAUUCCCCCAGUAGCGGCGAGCGAACGGGGAGCAGCCCAGAGCCUGAAUCAGUGUGUGUGUUAGUGGAAGCGUCUGGAAAGGCGCGCGAUACAGGGUGACAGCCCCGUACACAAAAAUGCACAUGCUGUGAGCUCGAUGAGUAGGGCGGGACACGUGGUAUCCUGUCUGAAUAUGGGGGGACCAUCCUCCAAGGCUAAAUACUCCUGACUGACCGAUAGUGAACCAGUACCGUGAGGGAAAGGCGAAAAGAACCCCGGCGAGGGGAGUGAAAAAGAACCUGAAACCGUGUACGUACAAGCAGUGGGAGCACGCUUAGGCGUGUGACUGCGUACCUUUUGUAUAAUGGGUCAGCGACUUAUAUUCUGUAGCAAGGUUAACCGAAUAGGGGAGCCGAAGGGAAACCGAGUCUUAACUGGGCGUUAAGUUGCAGGGUAUAGACCCGAAACCCGGUGAUCUAGCCAUGGGCAGGUUGAAGGUUGGGUAACACUAACUGGAGGACCGAACCGACUAAUGUUGAAAAAUUAGCGGAUGACUUGUGGCUGGGGGUGAAAGGCCAAUCAAACCGGGAGAUAGCUGGUUCUCCCCGAAAGCUAUUUAGGUAGCGCCUCGUGAAUUCAUCUCCGGGGGUAGAGCACUGUUUCGGCAAGGGGGUCAUCCCGACUUACCAACCCGAUGCAAACUGCGAAUACCGGAGAAUGUUAUCACGGGAGACACACGGCGGGUGCUAACGUCCGUCGUGAAGAGGGAAACAACCCAGACCGCCAGCUAAGGUCCCAAAGUCAUGGUUAAGUGGGAAACGAUGUGGGAAGGCCCAGACAGCCAGGAUGUUGGCUUAGAAGCAGCCAUCAUUUAAAGAAAGCGUAAUAGCUCACUGGUCGAGUCGGCCUGCGCGGAAGAUGUAACGGGGCUAAACCAUGCACCGAAGCUGCGGCAGCGACACUAUGUGUUGUUGGGUAGGGGAGCGUUCUGUAAGCCUGUGAAGGUGUGCUGUGAGGCAUGCUGGAGGUAUCAGAAGUGCGAAUGCUGACAUAAGUAACGAUAAAGCGGGUGAAAAGCCCGCUCGCCGGAAGACCAAGGGUUCCUGUCCAACGUUAAUCGGGGCAGGGUGAGUCGACCCCUAAGGCGAGGCCGAAAGGCGUAGUCGAUGGGAAACAGGUUAAUAUUCCUGUACUUGGUGUUACUGCGAAGGGGGGACGGAGAAGGCUAUGUUGGCCGGGCGACGGUUGUCCCGGUUUAAGCGUGUAGGCUGGUUUUCCAGGCAAAUCCGGAAAAUCAAGGCUGAGGCGUGAUGACGAGGCACUACGGUGCUGAAGCAACAAAUGCCCUGCUUCCAGGAAAAGCCUCUAAGCAUCAGGUAACAUCAAAUCGUACCCCAAACCGACACAGGUGGUCAGGUAGAGAAUACCAAGGCGCUUGAGAGAACUCGGGUGAAGGAACUAGGCAAAAUGGUGCCGUAACUUCGGGAGAAGGCACGCUGAUAUGUAGGUGAAGUCCCUCGCGGAUGGAGCUGAAAUCAGUCGAAGAUACCAGCUGGCUGCAACUGUUUAUUAAAAACACAGCACUGUGCAAACACGAAAGUGGACGUAUACGGUGUGACGCCUGCCCGGUGCCGGAAGGUUAAUUGAUGGGGUUAGCCGCAAGGCGAAGCUCUUGAUCGAAGCCCCGGUAAACGGCGGCCGUAACUAUAACGGUCCUAAGGUAGCGAAAUUCCUUGUCGGGUAAGUUCCGACCUGCACGAAUGGCGUAAUGAUGGCCAGGCUGUCUCCACCCGAGACUCAGUGAAAUUGAACUCGCUGUGAAGAUGCAGUGUACCCGCGGCAAGACGGAAAGACCCCGUGAACCUUUACUAUAGCUUGACACUGAACAUUGAGCCUUGAUGUGUAGGAUAGGUGGGAGGCUUUGAAGUGUGGACGCCAGUCUGCAUGGAGCCGACCUUGAAAUACCACCCUUUAAUGUUUGAUGUUCUAACGUUGACCCGUAAUCCGGGUUGCGGACAGUGUCUGGUGGGUAGUUUGACUGGGGCGGUCUCCUCCUAAAGAGUAACGGAGGAGCACGAAGGUUGGCUAAUCCUGGUCGGACAUCAGGAGGUUAGUGCAAUGGCAUAAGCCAGCUUGACUGCGAGCGUGACGGCGCGAGCAGGUGCGAAAGCAGGUCAUAGUGAUCCGGUGGUUCUGAAUGGAAGGGCCAUCGCUCAACGGAUAAAAGGUACUCCGGGGAUAACAGGCUGAUACCGCCCAAGAGUUCAUAUCGACGGCGGUGUUUGGCACCUCGAUGUCGGCUCAUCACAUCCUGGGGCUGAAGUAGGUCCCAAGGGUAUGGCUGUUCGCCAUUUAAAGUGGUACGCGAGCUGGGUUUAGAACGUCGUGAGACAGUUCGGUCCCUAUCUGCCGUGGGCGCUGGAGAACUGAGGGGGGCUGCUCCUAGUACGAGAGGACCGGAGUGGACGCAUCACUGGUGUUCGGGUUGUCAUGCCAAUGGCACUGCCCGGUAGCUAAAUGCGGAAGAGAUAAGUGCUGAAAGCAUCUAAGCACGAAACUUGCCCCGAGAUGAGUUCUCCCUGAC